GAGUAACACGUAGGCAACCUGCCCUCAAGACUGGGAUAACUACCGGAAACGGUAGCUAAUACCGGAUAAUUUAUUUCACAGCAUUGUGGAAUAAUGAAAGACGGAGCAAUCUGUCACUUGGGGAUGGGCCUGCGGCGCAUUAGCUAGUUGGUGGGGUAAUGGCUCACCAAGGCGACGAUGCGUAGCCGACCUGAGAGGGUGAACGGCCACACUGGGACUGAGACACGGCCCAGACUCCUACGGGAGGCAGCAGUAGGGAAUCUUCCGCAAUGGGCGAAAGCCUGACGGAGCAACGCCGCGUGAGUGAUGAAGGUUUUCGGAUCGUAAAGCUCUGUUGCCAAGGAAGAACGUCUUCUAGAGUAACUGCUAGAAGAGUGACGGUACUUGAGAAGAAAGCCCCGGCUAACUACGUGCCAGCAGCCGCGGUAAUACGUAGGGGGCAAGCGUUGUCCGGAAUUAUUGGGCGUAAAGCGCGCGCAGGCGGUUCUUUAAGUCUGGUGUUUAAACCCGAGGCUCAACU
RNAcentral lists this ribosomal RNA (520 nucleotides) under Paenibacillus lautus. RNAcentral describes it as "bacterial SSU rRNA". It matches the Rfam family "Bacterial small subunit ribosomal RNA", at positions 108 to 614 of the family's 1533-position model. Lineage: Bacteria; Bacillati; Bacillota; Bacilli; Caryophanales; Paenibacillaceae. The record is from RNAcentral.